This 466-nucleotide ribosomal RNA is filed under the name uncultured bacterium. Its description in RNAcentral is "bacterial SSU rRNA". It matches the Rfam family "Bacterial small subunit ribosomal RNA", at positions 330 to 793 of the family's 1533-position model. The record is from RNAcentral.
GCCAGACUCCUACGGGAGGCAGCAGUGAGGAAUAUUGGUCAAUGGUCGGGAGACUGAACCAGCCAAGCCGCGUGAGGGAGGAAGGUACAGAGUAUCGUAAACCUCUUUUGUCAGGGAACAAAGACUGGGACGCGUCCCCGGAUGAGUGUACCUGAAGAAAAAGCAUCGGCUAACUCCGUGCCAGCAGCCGCGGUAAUACGUAUGGGGCAAGCGUUAUCCGGAUUUACUGGGUGUAAAGGGAGCGCAGGCGGCUUGGCAAGUCUGAUGUGAAAGGCUGGGGCUCAACCCCAGGACUGCAUUGGAAACUGUUAGGCUAGAGUGUCGGAGAGGUAAGCGGAAUUCCUAGUGUAGCGGUGAAAUGCGUAGAUAUUAGGAGGAACACCAGUGGCGAAGGCGGCUUACUGGACGACAACUGACGCUGAGGCUCGAAAGCGUGGGGAGCAAACAGGAUUAGAUACCCCAGUAG